RNAcentral lists this ribosomal RNA (439 nucleotides) under uncultured bacterium. Its description in RNAcentral is "bacterial SSU rRNA". It matches the Rfam family "Bacterial small subunit ribosomal RNA", at positions 28 to 449 of the family's 1533-position model. The record is from RNAcentral.
GAUGAACGCUGGCGGCGUGCCUAACACAUGCAAGUCGAACGAAGCACUUGUAUUUGAUUCUUCGGAUGAAGAUACUUGUGACUGAGUGGCGGACGGGUGAGUAACGCGUGGGUAACCUGCCUCAUACAGGGGGAUAACAGUUAGAAAUGGCUGCUAAUACCGCAUAAGCACACAGUGUUGCAUGACACAGUGUGAAAAACUCCGGUGGUAUGAGAUGGACCCGCGUCUGAUUAGCUGGUUGGUGGGGUAACGGCCUACCAAGGCGACAAUCAGUAGCCGACCUGAGAGGGUGACCGGCCACAUUGGGACUGAGACACGGCCCAAACUCCUACGGGAGGCAGCAGUGGGGAAUAUUGCACAAUGGGGGAAACCCUGAUGCAGCGACGCCGCGUGAGCGAAGAAGUAUUUCGGUAUGUAAAGCUCUAUCAGCAGGGAAGAA